AUGCUCCGUAGACCUCUUUCUUUUAAAGUGUAUCAUCAGUUCAGUUUGUUUCUGCAGCUAUUUGGGGGUUAUGUGGCAACCUUCAGAAACAACAGAAACUAUUGGAAUAUUAGAGGAUUCGCGGUUAUGUGGCAACCCAUCGGCUGUCUGAAAUCUGGCCCCUCUGUACUGUGCUCAGUAGCUGAACCAAUCAGAAGAGAGAAUAAGGGGGCUCCGAGUGGUUCAUGUAGCUUGCCAUCGGUUGCCGGAGCCCCGAGAGAGCACAAUUGGCUUUUCUCUCUCUGGGUGGGUAGAUGGUGCUCUCUCUUCAGACAUGACUCCAAAGGGAGAUGUCAGCACAAGGCGUCUGUGAGCUAAUGUAUUGGAACUGAGUCGCUGGGCUUUCCUCCGAGUGGCUGGCUUCACAUUUAUCAGAGGAGGCAUGUUCUAGUCUUCACCCUCCAAUUUUGGGGCAUCACUAGUGAUAGGGGGAGUCUUAAUGAGUGCGUUAGGUUAUUGCCCGUGUAAAUUGGGGAGAAAUUUCGUUGAGCUUUGAUGACGUUCCUCUUGUGCUAAUGAUUCACCUACACGUUCCUUUUACACUCAUAAUCACACCAAUAGCCUCAAUGUUCCCUCAGCCCUCUUUUCACAAGAUUAAAGGUCUAGUUUCUUUAGAAAUGUUUUAUUCCAAUUUAAAUGGAGCAGCAGUUCCAUAAAUACUGUAUAUAUACUUGUGACUCUAUGGGCUAGUGUUGUCACAAUACCAAAAUUAUAACUGUCUAAAUAUCUAAAUAGUCAUUCUGAAACAAUAUCACAGCAAAAACCUAAAUCAUCAGAAAUUAUUGGAAUAUUAAAGGAUUGAGGGUUAUGUGGCAACCUGCCUCCCUGAAAUGAGUUUUUGCAGCAUUGGGUUUCUGUUGUAGGAUGACUUAUAGUCUGCUGCACAACCAGAUUUAGAAAUGUCAGGAACACAUUUUGGAAUGAUUUAAUUUGCCAAGAUAUCAUAUUUGUGAUGUAAUAAAACCAACAGACGUAGUGAAUUUACCA
This 1026-nucleotide long non-coding RNA is filed under the name Astyanax mexicanus (Mexican tetra). RNAcentral describes it as "lncRNA (ENSAMXG00005012748.1)". The record is from RNAcentral. Lineage: Eukaryota; Metazoa; Chordata; Actinopteri; Characiformes; Acestrorhamphidae.